Molecule: ribosomal RNA, 870 nt
Filed under: uncultured archaeon
Lineage: Archaea
Description: bacterial SSU rRNA
Rfam family: Archaeal small subunit ribosomal RNA
Source: RNAcentral
CUCCGGUUGAUCCUGCCGGACCUGACUGCUAUCGGAUUGGUACUAAGCCAUGCGAGUCAUUGUAGCAAUACAAGGCGGACGGCUCAGUAACACGUAGUCAACCUAACUCGUGGACGUGGAUAACCUCGGGAAACUGAGAAUAAACCACGAUAGAUCAUAGUGCCUGGAAUGGCUUAUGGUCCAAACAGUUUACUGCCAUGGGAUGGGACUGCGGCCUAUCAGCUUGUUGGUGAGGUAAUGGCCCACCAAGGCGAUUACAGGUACGGGCUCUGAGAGGAGAAGCCCGGAGAUGGGUACUGAGACACGGACCCAGGCCCUAUGGGGCGCAGCAGGCGAGAAACCUUAGCAAUGUGCGAAAGCACGACUGGGUCAGUCCGAGUGAUUCCUGAUAAAGGAGUCUUUUGCUUGUCCUAAAAGCACAGGUGAAUAAGGGGUGGGCAAGUCUGGUGUCAGCCGCCGCGGUAAUACCAGCACCUCGAGUGGUCAGGACGUUUAUUGGGCCUAAAGCAUCCGUAGCCGGCUCUGCAAGUCUUCGGUUAAAUCCACCUGCUCAACAGAUGGGCUGCUGGAGAUACUACAGAGCUAGGGAGUGGGAGAGGCAGACGGUAUUCAGUGGGUAGGGGUAAAAUCCUCUGAUCCAUUGAGGACCACCAGUGGCGAAGGCGGUCUGCCAGAACACGUUCGACGGUGAGGGAUGAAAGCUGGGGGAGCAAACCGGAUUAGAUACCCGGGUAGUCCCAGCUGUAAACGAUGCAGACUCGGUGAUGGGCUAGCCUUGUGCCAGCCCAGUGCCGCAGGGAAGCCGUUAAGUCUGCCGCCUGGGGAGUACGGUCGCAAGACUGAAACUUAAAGGNAAUUGGGGGGGGAGCA